Molecule: non-coding RNA, 82 nt
Organism: Cucurbitaria berberidis CBS 394.84
Lineage: Eukaryota; Fungi; Ascomycota; Dothideomycetes; Pleosporales; Cucurbitariaceae
Source: the annotation of a RefSeq genome assembly
UCUCAGAUCGUAUAGUGGUCAGUAUUUCGGCUUGUCAUAACACAACACGCCGGAGGCCGGGGUUCGAUUCCCCGUCUGAGAG